GCAGGGCCGCAGGGGCCCCCGGAGGAGGGUGUUAAGAGCCAGAAACAAACCUAAACCAUGUGGAAUCCAGUUAGGCUGGGAGGUGGCUCUGGGGGGCAGGUCUUAGGAGAAACUGGGGAGGUCAGCAUGGGGCCGGCUGCCGGGUCCUGGGGCGCAGAAGGCUGGUCCCGGGGACCCCCCGGGGCAGCCGGGUCCAUGACUAGUUCCAAACCUCCCCAACGUACGGGAUGAGGGGUCCUCACCACCCACCCACCCUUCAGUGACCCCCAAGGAAGGAUCUGGGGCCCCCAGUCAGCCGGAUGCUCCUUCCCGAGGGUUGGGUUCGGGUCAGCGUAUGCUGAUGGGGUCACAGUGCAUUCCAGGCCCUGCGCUCGGCUCUGAGGAAACGUGAACGGUGUGAGGUGUGAGGACAAGAAGGUGACCUGGGACGGUGUAGGUGGUGCACAGAUGGCAGGCGGGGAGAGGGGUGCACAUCGCCCCCUCCAUGCACCUCAGCCCACCGGUCACAGGGGACUGACCGCGGGUCGGUGCCCAGCACUGGGCCCUGAGCCGCCCUCUCUGGCCCCUGCCCAUCCCUCAGCGUAGGAGUCAGUCUCGCACUGGGACCAGCGCCGGGGCAGGCCCGGCAGGCUCAGGAGCCAGAUUCCACCUGGGCAGGGAUCAGGAUCCGGGGCACGGCGGAAGGCGGCGGAGGGCCGCGAUCUCUGCCCGCACCCGAGGCCUCCGUGCGCCAUCUUGCAGAGACCCUGCAGGACGGCCCCGCCCAAGUGUCCCCAGGCCCCCGGAGAGGAGGCCGUGGGGGGGGAGAGCCAACAUAAACCCGUCAGAGCUAACCCGUGCUGAUCACUGGCUCCCUAAAUCAAGAAGCUGGCAGAUCUUCGGGGCGAGCAUCAAUCUUCCUGUCCCCGUGCUAUCGUUUGAACCCAGGAAGACCAUUGACGCUCACGCACAGCCCGCAUGCUUCUUAAACCCUCGUUCGUGGAUUUUUGCCGAUUCCUUUGUCCACAAUCUAUACCAAGGUUCCCGCAUCGUCUCCCUGCCCCCAGUUCAUUUUAUCUUGCCUUAAUGAAUUAACCAGAAUGUCCAGAUGAGAUCGAGUUGAACUACCUUAAGUCUGUUUAGGAACCUGCUUGGGUGUUCGUUAAUUACCGUUCGUUAAUUGUCAGUGGGAUGAUAAGAGGAAUUUAUUUUUGUUCCUCGUUUUGAAGCUACUUUACCGGUGCUGAUUCGUCUCUUACUUACGUGUCACCCUGUGGAAGAAUCCUUCCAUCAAGCUCUUCUCUGUUCUAAAUGGUUGAAUGCUACCGCAUUAUUUUCCAGGUAGCUGUGAGCGUGCUUUCACACCCCUUACUUCAUCCUGCCCGUUGAACGAAUCAUGAGAACUCCCCGCAGCGGCAGAGCGGGGGCCCCACCCCAGGCCUCCGGCCCCCGGCCCCCACGUUGUCUGAUCGAGUCUUCACUCUGAGGAGAUGCGUCCUGGUUCACAAAGGCUUCAGAGCUGCCCGCAGCUGUGUGAUGACCAGUGCAGGGGAGCAAAUUCUGCCAGCCCAGGGUCUGCCUCUCUGGCAUAUUAUCUUAAGCUGCCGGUUUUUAAGAAAAUGCAGACACAAGAGCAGCUCCGAGAGCCCGCACGAAGCUUCCCUUCUGUAAGAGCCAUUUCCACGUAUGAGGGAAUCUCCGUUUGUAAGGGUGUCCCCCUGGCUGUGCUGGGAAGAAGGGGUGACUCCAAACCCCGGGAAACUCUAAUCGGGGCAGGAGGCAUGGACUCAGAUCUGCAUGACAGCCUCACCCUUGUUCACUGUGCUUCCCUGGCAACCUGCCAUAACCGACUCCCUACCCCCAACCUCUGUCUUUAGCUGAAGAUGGUAUUUAAGGUGACGGCUUUGGCCAUUUCCCGGAGUUACCGUUUUCCUCGGUCUCUCGGGUAUAAGCAGGAGGCACACGUGUAAUCAAACUUUUGUCCGACUCACUCCUGU
Neofelis nebulosa (Clouded leopard) is the source of this 1976-nucleotide long non-coding RNA. RefSeq lists it as uncharacterized. NCBI's taxonomy places the organism in Eukaryota, Metazoa, Chordata, Mammalia, Carnivora, Felidae. The transcript has 2 exons. The record is from RefSeq and is a predicted model, not a curated record.